Molecule: ribosomal RNA, 1470 nt
Filed under: Staphylococcus aureus
Lineage: Bacteria; Bacillati; Bacillota; Bacilli; Caryophanales; Staphylococcaceae
Description: partial 16S ribosomal RNA
Rfam family: Bacterial small subunit ribosomal RNA
Source: RNAcentral
UUGCUUCUCUGAUGUUAGCGGCGGACGGGUGAGUAACACGUGGAUAACCUACCUAUAAGACUGGGAUAACUUCGGGAAACCGGAGCUAAUACCGGAUAAUAUUUUGAACCGCAUGGUUCAAAAGUGAAAGACGGUCUUGCUGUCACUUAUAGAUGGAUCCGCGCUGCAUUAGCUAGUUGGUAAGGUAACGGCUUACCAAGGCAACGAUGCAUAGCCGACCUGAGAGGGUGAUCGGCCACACUGGAACUGAGACACGGUCCAGACUCCUACGGGAGGCAGCAGUAGGGAAUCUUCCGCAAUGGGCGAAAGCCUGACGGAGCAACGCCGCGUGAGUGAUGAAGGUCUUCGGAUCGUAAAACUCUGUUAUUAGGGAAGAACAUAUGUGUAAGUAACUGUGCACAUCUUGACGGUACCUAAUCAGAAAGCCACGGCUAACUACGUGCCAGCAGCCGCGGUAAUACGUAGGUGGCAAGCGUUAUCCGGAAUUAUUGGGCGUAAAGCGCGCGUAGGCGGUUUUUUAAGUCUGAUGUGAAAGCCCACGGCUCAACCGUGGAGGGUCAUUGGAAACUGGAAAACUUGAGUGCAGAAGAGGAAAGUGGAAUUCCAUGUGUAGCGGUGAAAUGCGCAGAGAUAUGGAGGAACACCAGUGGCGAAGGCGACUUUCUGGUCUGUAACUGACGCUGAUGUGCGAAAGCGUGGGGAUCAAACAGGAUUAGAUACCCUGGUAGUCCACGCCGUAAACGAUGAGUGCUAAGUGUUAGGGGGUUUCCGCCCCUUAGUGCUGCAGCUAACGCAUUAAGCACUCCGCCUGGGGAGUACGACCGCAAGGUUGAAACUCAAAGGAAUUGACGGGGACCCGCACAAGCGGUGGAGCAUGUGGUUUAAUUCGAAGCAACGCGAAGAACCUUACCAAAUCUUGACAUCCUUUGACAACUCUAGAGAUAGAGCCUUCCCCUUCGGGGGACAAAGUGACAGGUGGUGCAUGGUUGUCGUCAGCUCGUGUCGUGAGAUGUUGGGUUAAGUCCCGCAACGAGCGCAACCCUUAAGCUUAGUUGCCAUCAUUAAGUUGGGCACUCUAAGUUGACUGCCGGUGACAAACCGGAGGAAGGUGGGGAUGACGUCAAAUCAUCAUGCCCCUUAUGAUUUGGGCUACACACGUGCUACAAUGGACAAUACAAAGGGCAGCGAAACCGCGAGGUCAAGCAAAUCCCAUAAAGUUGUUCUCAGUUCGGAUUGUAGUCUGCAACUCGACUACAUGAAGCUGGAAUCGCUAGUAAUCGUAGAUCAGCAUGCUACGGUGAAUACGUUCCCGGGUCUUGUACACACCGCCCGUCACACCACGAGAGUUUGUAACACCCGCAGCCGGUGGAGUAACCUUUUAGGAGCUAGCCGUCGAAGGUGGGACAAAUGAUUGGGGUGAAGUCGUAACAAGGUAGCCGUAUCGGAAGGUGCGGCUGGAUCACCUCCUUU